This 315-nucleotide unclassified non-coding RNA is filed under the name plant metagenome. Its description in RNAcentral is "partial contains 5.8S ribosomal RNA, internal transcribed spacer 2, and large subunit ribosomal RNA". The stretch from base 1 to 104 matches the Rfam family "5.8S ribosomal RNA", at positions 51 to 154 of the family's 154-position model. The record is from RNAcentral.
AACUGCGAUAAGUAAUGUGAAUUGCAGAAUUCAGUGAAUCAUCGAGUCUUUGAACGCACAUUGCGCCCCCUGGCAUUCCGGGGGGCAUGCCUGUCCGAGCGUCAUUGCUGCCCUUCAAGCCCGGCUUGUGUGUUGGGUCGUCGUCCCCUCCGGGGGACGGGCCCGAAAGGCAGCGGCGGCACCGCGUCCGGUCCUCGAGCGUAUGGGGCUUUGUCACCCGCUCGAUAAGGACCGGCCGGGCGCCAGCCGGCGUCUCCAACCUUUUUUUUCUCAGGUUGACCUCGGAUCAGGUAGGGAUACCCGCUGAACUUAAGC